This 254-nucleotide ribosomal RNA is filed under the name uncultured bacterium. RNAcentral's name for it is "partial 16S ribosomal RNA". It matches the Rfam family "Bacterial small subunit ribosomal RNA", at positions 524 to 776 of the family's 1533-position model. The record is from RNAcentral.
UACGAAGGGGGCUAGCGUUGCUCGGAAUCACUGGGCGUAAAGGGUGCGUAGGCGGGUCUUUUAAGUCAGGGGUGAAAUCCUGGAGCUCAACUCCAGAACUGCCUUUGAUACUGAGGAUCUUGAGUUCGGGAGAGGUGAGUGGAAUUCCUGGUGUAGAGGUGAAAUUCGUAGAUAUCAGGAGGAACACCAGCGGCGAAGGCGGCGCUCUGGGCCGGUACUGACACUGAGGAGCGAAAGCGUGGGUAGCAAACAGG